This 1359-nucleotide ribosomal RNA is filed under the name uncultured bacterium. RNAcentral describes it as "bacterial SSU rRNA". It matches the Rfam family "Bacterial small subunit ribosomal RNA", at positions 28 to 1381 of the family's 1533-position model. The record is from RNAcentral.
GAUGAACGCUAGCUACAGGCUUAACACAUGCAAGUCGAGGGGCAGCAUUUUAGUUUGCUUGCAAACUGAAGAUGGCGACCGGCGCACGGGUGAGUAACACGUAUCCAACCUGCCGAUAACUCCGGGAUAGCCUUUCGAAAGAAAGAUUAAUACCGGAUAGUAUACGAAUAUCGCAUGAUAUUUUUAUUAAAGAAUUUCGGUUAUCGAUGGGGAUGCGUUCCAUUAGUUUGUUGGCGGGGUAACGGCCCACCAAGACUACGAUGGAUAGGGGUUCUGAGAGGAAGGUCCCCCACAUUGGAACUGAGACACGGUCCAAACUCCUACGGGAGGCAGCAGUGAGGAAUAUUGGUCAAUGGGCGCGAGCCUGAACCAGCCAAGUAGCGUGAAGGAUGAAGGCUCUAUGGGUCGUAAACUUCUUUUAUAUGGGAAUAAAGUUUUCCACGUGUGGAAUUUUGUAUGUACCAUAUGAAUAAGGAUCGGCUAACUCCGUGCCAGCAGCCGCGGUAAUACGGAGGAUCCGAGCGUUAUCCGGAUUUAUUGGGUUUAAAGGGAGCGUAGGUGGAUUGUUAAGUCAGUUGUGAAAGUUUGCGGCUCAACCGUAAAAUUGCAGUUGAAACUGGCAGUCUUGAGUACAGUAGAGGUGGGCGGAAUUCGUGGUGUAGCGGUGAAAUGCUUAGAUAUCACGAAGAACUCCGAUUGCGAAGGCAGCUCACUAGACUGUCACUGACACUGAUGCUCGAAAGUGUGGGUAUCAAACAGGAUUAGAUACCCUGGUAGUCCACACAGUAAACGAUGAAUACUCGCUGUUUGCGAUAUACAGUAAGCGGCCAAGCGAAAGCAUUAAGUAUUCCACCUGGGGAGUACGCCGGCAACGGUGAAACUCAAAGGAAUUGACGGGGGCCCGCACAAGCGGAGGAACAUGUGGUUUAAUUCGAUGAUACGCGAGGAACCUUACCCGGGCUUAAAUUGCAACAGAAUAUAUUGGAAACAGUAUAGCCGUAAGGCUGUUGUGAAGGUGCUGCAUGGUUGUCGUCAGCUCGUGCCGUGAGGUGUCGGCUUAAGUGCCAUAACGAGCGCAACCCUUAUCUUUAGUUACUAACAAGUGAUGCUGAGGACUCUAGAGAGACUGCCGUCGUAAGAUGUGAGGAAGGUGGGGAUGACGUCAAAUCAGCACGGCCCUUACGUCCGGGGCUACACACGUGUUACAAUGGGGGGUACAGAAGGCGGCUACCUGGUGACAGGAUGCUAAUCCCAAAAACCUCUCUCAGUUCGGAUCGAAGUCUGCAACCCGACUUCGUGAAGCUGGAUUCGCUAGUAAUCGCGCAUCAGCCAUGGCGCGGUGAAUACGUUCCCGGGCCU